AGUAAAAGUCGUAACAAGGUUUCCGUAGGUGAACCUGCGGAAGGAUCAUUAUUUAAAAUGUAAAGGAGUGCACUUCAUUGUGACUCUGACACUUUUAAAUAUUUAAACCAUUUUAAACCCAAAGCUGUUAUGUGUGCCUUUUAGGUAUAGCAUCUCAGUAGUACGUCUCAACUUUUGUUUUGACAUUACCCCCCCUUAUAAGUGACCCCCCUUUUUGUGCAUUGAUGGACUUUAAAUAAUGUUUUAAGAAUGUAAACCCUAUAAUCAUAUAACUUUUAACAAUGGAUCUCUUGGCUCUCACAUCGAUGAAGAACACAGUGAAAUGUGUUAAGUAAUGUGAAUUGCAGAAUUCAGUGAAUCAUCGAAUCUUUGAACGCACCUUGCACCUUUUGGUAUUCCAAAAGGUACACCUGUUUGAGUGUCAUGAAACCCUCUCAUUCUAAUUCUUUAUUUGAUAUAAGGAGUUGGUAUGGAUGUUGAGUGCUGCCGUCAUUGGCUCACUUUGAAUACAUAAGUACUUUUAUCUUGAAAAAUAAAUGGAGAAAUACUUGGUGUAAUAUUUAUGUUUCAUUAAGGAGUGUGGUUUAAUUACUACAGCCAUUUGUUUUGGAUAAAUAGCUUCCUAACCCUAUUAUAUUUAAACUUUAGACCUCANAUCAGGUGGGACUACCCGCUGAACUUAAGCAUAUCAAUAAGCGGAGGA
RNAcentral lists this ribosomal RNA (703 nucleotides) under uncultured fungus. RNAcentral's name for it is "eukaryotic LSU rRNA". The stretch from base 271 to 424 matches the Rfam family "5.8S ribosomal RNA". Lineage: Eukaryota; Fungi. The record is from RNAcentral.